CCGCCCGUCACACCAUGGGAGUUGGCUUCACCCGAAGGCAGUGCGCUAACCGCAAGGAGGCAGCUGACCACGGUGGGAUCAGCGACUGGGGUG
This 93-nucleotide ribosomal RNA is filed under the name uncultured bacterium. RNAcentral's name for it is "partial 16S ribosomal RNA". It matches the Rfam family "Bacterial small subunit ribosomal RNA", at positions 1390 to 1482 of the family's 1533-position model. The record is from RNAcentral.